RNAcentral lists this ribosomal RNA (269 nucleotides) under uncultured bacterium. RNAcentral describes it as "partial 16S ribosomal RNA". It matches the Rfam family "Bacterial small subunit ribosomal RNA", at positions 524 to 783 of the family's 1533-position model. The record is from RNAcentral.
UACGUAGGGGGGCAAGCGUUGUCCGGAUUUAUUGGGCGUAAAGGGCGCGUAGGCGGCCACGCACGUCCGUUGUGAAAUCGCCCGGCUCAACUGGGCGGGGUCGGCGGAUACGGCGUGGCUGGAGCAAGCUAGGGGGCAAUGGAAUUCCCGGUGUAGUGGUGGAAUGCGUAGAUAUCGGGAGGAACACCAGUGGCCGAAGGCGGUUGCCUGGAGCUUUGCUGACCGCUGAGGCGCGGAAAGCGAUGGGGAGCCGAGGGCCGCGAUUCGAU